Molecule: ribosomal RNA, 488 nt
Filed under: uncultured bacterium
Lineage: Bacteria
Description: partial 16S ribosomal RNA
Rfam family: Bacterial small subunit ribosomal RNA
Source: RNAcentral
AUUGAACGCUGGCGGCAGGCCUAACACAUGCAAGUCGAACGGUAACAGGAAGAAGCUUGCUUCUUUGCUGACGAGUGGCGGACGGGUGAGUAAUGUCUGGGAAACUGCCUGAUGGAGGGGGAUAACUACUGGAAACGGUAGCUAAUACCGCAUAACGUCGCAAGACCAAAGAGGGGGACCUUCGGGCCUCUUGCCAUCGGAUGUGCCCAGAUGGGAUUAGCUAGUAGGUGGGGUAACGGCUCACCUAGGCGACGAUCCCUAGCUGGUCUGAGAGGAUGACCAGCCACUGGAACUGAGACACGGUCCAGACUCCUACGGGAGGCAGCAGUGGGGAAUAUUGCACAAAGGGCGCAAGCCUGAUGCAGCCAUGCCGCGUGUAUGAAGAAGGCCUUCGGGUUGUAAAGUACUUUCAGCGGGGAGGAAGGGAGUAAAGUUAAUACCUUUGCUCAUUGACGUUACCCGCAGAAGAAGCACCGGCUAACUCCGUG